UACAGAGACUGCAAGCGUUAUUCGGAUUCACUGGGCGUAAAGGGUGCGCAGGCGGCCAAGUGUGUCAGGUGUGAAAUCCCGGGGCUUAACUCCGGAACUGCGCCUGAAACUACUUGGCUAGAGCAUUGGAGAGGGAAGUGGAAUUCACGGUGUAGCAGUGAAAUGCGUAGAUAUCGUGAGGAACACCAGAGGCGAAGGCGACUUCCUGGACAAUUGCUAACGCUCUGGCACGAAAGCGUGGGGAGCAAACAGG
RNAcentral lists this ribosomal RNA (253 nucleotides) under uncultured bacterium. RNAcentral describes it as "partial 16S ribosomal RNA". It matches the Rfam family "Bacterial small subunit ribosomal RNA", at positions 524 to 776 of the family's 1533-position model. The record is from RNAcentral.